UAGCACCAUUUGAAAUCAGUUU
RNAcentral lists this microRNA (22 nucleotides) under Owenia fusiformis. RNAcentral's name for it is "Ofu-Mir-29-P2_3p (mature (guide))". Lineage: Eukaryota; Metazoa; Annelida; Polychaeta; Sabellida; Oweniidae. The record is from RNAcentral. RNAcentral also lists the same sequence under 18 other names.